AUACGUAGGGGGCGAGCGUUGUCCGGAAUGAUUGGGCGUAAAGGGCGCGUAGGCGGCCCGGUAAGUCUGGAGUGAAAGUCCUGCUUUUAAGGUGGGAAUUGCUUUGGAUACUGUCGGGCUUGAGUGCAGGAGAGGUAAGUGGAAUUCCCAGUGUAGUGGUGAAAUGCGUAGAGAUUGGGAGGAACACCAGUGGCGAAGGCGACUUACUGGACUGUAACUGACGCUGAGGCGCGAAAGUGUGGGGAGCAAACAGGAUUAGAUCCCCGGGUAGUCCACGCCGUAAACGAUGAAUGCUAGGUGUCGGGGGGCAAAGCCCUUCGGUGCCGCCGCUAACGCAUUAAGCAUUCCACCUGGGGAGUACGUUCGCAAGAAUGAAACUCAAAGGAAUUGACGGGG
RNAcentral lists this ribosomal RNA (396 nucleotides) under uncultured bacterium. Its description in RNAcentral is "partial 16S ribosomal RNA". It matches the Rfam family "Bacterial small subunit ribosomal RNA", at positions 523 to 918 of the family's 1533-position model. The record is from RNAcentral.